Molecule: long non-coding RNA, 1077 nt
Organism: Sorghum bicolor (sorghum)
Lineage: Eukaryota; Viridiplantae; Streptophyta; Magnoliopsida; Poales; Poaceae
Exons: 3
Source: RefSeq, a predicted model, not a curated record
GCUGCUUCGUCCGCCUGCUCGAUGGCUCCCCUGGUGCUCCCUAGCUCUCUCUCCCCGUGUGGUAGGCCCGGCCUCGCGUGGACCCGACCCAUCCACUCUCGACUCUUGCCCGUGAAAUACAAAAACGCCGGCUCCAUGACUUCCUCCGUGCCGCCGCCGCCAUCCCAUACGCGCCGCCAGACCGCCGCUCGGCUCUGCUACCCUCCCCUACCGGGACUCCCUCCGUCCACCGAAGCCGCCGUCGCUGCAGCCACCGUUGCUAGAGCCACCGUCACUGGAGCCGCCGCCGCAGCCAAGUGUUGUUGCCGCUGCAGCCGAGACGCGGAUGUGGAGACGCGAAACGGCGGAUGCCUCUCCCUCGCCUCUUCCUCCCCCUGUGUCAGCGACGGCGGUUGGUACACUGGCAUGGGCCCUGCUAUACUUAGCGGCAGCAGCCUGGGUGCACCUCUCUCAGAUCCGCCCUCGCCCGCUUGGCACUCGAGAUGACGAAUCGGCCACUAGCACUCACAUCCCUCUGCUUAGUCGUCUCCACCCGCUCAUAUAUCCCGGCUGAGUCUUCUCUGAGCUGCGCUCACUUCGGCACUGAGGACGCCAGUGCUUGCUGCUAUAUUUUCAUUUGCGGUCGGUGCUUGUCAGAUAUAUCUGCACUUGUAAAUGGCAUGAGAAGGCACGCAUCAACAGGUGACAAGAAUCUAAGAGCUUUGAAUGCAUCAUUGCGUGCGAACUGCUGGUGGACUUUAAUUCCUUAAUCUGCUGAUGGACUUCAAUUCCUUAAUCAUAGAGAACCCAGGUUGUGGUGUGAUCCGUUUCAUGCUGCGAGGAAGUACAUAGGGAUGGUGGAGGACAGUUGCUGCACCUAUGAGACAAUGGAUGCCAUCAACAAGGGGAUCCUACAUCCAAUCCUUAGGAACUUAGAUUUUUAGGCUUCAUCUAUCUGCAAAUGUUGUUGGGGUGAACAAAUAUUGGAAGGCAUGAACAAAUAGUAGCAAUGGAAAUUUAGAUUUUGUAAGAAAGUAAAUAUGAAUGUAAGCAUAACAUUGCUUCUCAACCUAUUUAACAAUUCAUGUUUUAUUUUUA